AAUCAGUAGGCUUAUAAUUGAAGUCUAGUAUGAAAGGGAAUUCGGGAAGUGGCUGUCUUGUAUAAAGAACUAGAAUUUAUUUAUUAGGUGAAAAUCCCUAAAAAUUAGAAAAAAGACGAGAAGACCCUAGAAAUUUUAUUAAAAUAAUCCUUUAAUUUUGUUGGGGCGACAUGGUAACAAAUAACUUACCCAAUUAAUAGGAAACUUUUAAGUGGUAUAAGUAAAUUACUCUAGGGAUAACAGCAUAAUAUUUUAAAGUUUGUGACCUCGAUGUUGGACUAGGGAGUGAAGUAUUUAAAAGAUACUUUAAUAGGCU
This 316-nucleotide ribosomal RNA is filed under the name Monacha samsunensis. RNAcentral describes it as "partial large subunit ribosomal RNA". Lineage: Eukaryota; Metazoa; Mollusca; Gastropoda; Stylommatophora; Hygromiidae. The record is from RNAcentral.